ACAAACGCUGGCGGCGUGCUUCACCCAUGCAAGUCGCACGGUGAAGGGAUCAGCUUGCUGGUUCUGGAUGAGUGGCGAACGGGUGAGUAACACGUGAGUAACCUGCCCCCUUCUUCUGGAUAACCGCAUGAAAGUGUGGCUAAUACGGGAUAUUCUGCGCCUGCUGCAUGGUGGGGUGGGGAAGGUAUUGUUUCGGGGGGGGGUGGGCUCGCGGGCUAUCAGCUUGUUGGUGGGGUGAUGGCCUACCAAGGCGGUGACGGGUAGCCGGCCUGAGAGGGUGGACGGUCACACUGGGACUGAGACACGGCCCAGACUCCUACGGGAGGCAGCAGUGGGGAAUAUUGCACAAUGGGCGCAAGCCUGAUGCAGCGACGCCGCGUGAGGGAGGGAGGCCUUCGGGUUGUGAACCUCUUUCGCCAGUGAAGCAGGCCUGUCCCUUGUGGGUGGGUUGACGGUAGCUGGAUAAGAAGCGCCGGCUAACUACGUG
RNAcentral lists this ribosomal RNA (487 nucleotides) under uncultured bacterium. RNAcentral describes it as "partial 16S ribosomal RNA". It matches the Rfam family "Bacterial small subunit ribosomal RNA", at positions 29 to 507 of the family's 1533-position model. The record is from RNAcentral.